RNAcentral lists this ribosomal RNA (116 nucleotides) under uncultured eukaryote. RNAcentral's name for it is "partial small subunit ribosomal RNA". It matches the Rfam family "Bacterial small subunit ribosomal RNA", at positions 1411 to 1525 of the family's 1533-position model. The record is from RNAcentral.
UUGGCUUUACCCGAAGCGGUGCGCUAACCCGCAAGGGAGGCAGCCGGCCACGGUAGGGUCAGCGACUGGGGUGAAGUCGUAACAAGGUAGCCGUAGGUGAACCUGCAGAAGGAUCA